Zophobas morio is the source of this 838-nucleotide long non-coding RNA. RefSeq lists it as uncharacterized. The transcript is spliced from 3 exons. NCBI's taxonomy places the organism in Eukaryota, Metazoa, Arthropoda, Insecta, Coleoptera, Tenebrionidae. The record is from RefSeq and is a predicted model, not a curated record.
AACAAAAUGAAGCUUUUUGUAGUAACACUACGCGUCCUUGAUAGUCGUUAGUUUCGAGGCCAAAUUGCGGUUUUAUAAAAUGUAACGUGAAACUUCCUCCGAUCUGUGUUUGCCGAAAGCUGUCGAAAGUGCAAUAAGGCAGAUGUAUCGUUCCAUAAAAGCACUAGGUUUAGUAAGUCUACAUCCUUUAGUAAUACCAUCCUUGACUAUAUAGACUCCGGUUCUAAGUAUGUUACUGCUAAACACAGUUAUCAAAAUCUGAGAGUGUCGGGUUUUAAUGAAACUUCUUGUUCCAAAGCCGAGUGAGUUGGUAGCUUUGUGUUAGUCACAGUUACUACUAUUCAUUUUUGACAGCUUUAAUUAUAACGAUAAAACACUAAACUUGAACUGCGUCGUCCCAAAUUUUCGACUGGACUUCAAUUACGAGGUACACGGGCAAGUUAUGCUGGUGUCUAUUUAUGGAAACGGAACGGGAUGAGUUAUUUUCCGCGACAAUCACCUUGGGCUUACUUUUAAAUUAGGAGAAUACGAAAAGAAGGGUAAACAAUAUUUUAAUAUCCUUCACCAACAACUGGGCAUGCAGCCCAGAGACACUGACUUUAAUCUUCAAAAUUUGUUUGAUGGUGAUGAAGAAUUAGCUAAUCGUAUGCUAAAUUUACUAAAAGAAAAUGUCAUCGAAUUAUUUGGUGAUCUUAGACCUGGUUAUGAAGAAGCUUUUGGAAAAGAUUUUGGAGAAUGUGCCUGUUUUUGAUAUCUUCGGCUGAAAUCAGUUGGAAUGAUAUAAAAUGCUCUGUCAAAGAAUGUCGUUUGUUACCAAUAAAACUAGCAAAAAUAAAAA